This 58-nucleotide transfer RNA is filed under the name Felis catus (domestic cat). It matches the Rfam family "tRNA", at positions 8 to 63 of the family's 71-position model. From Rfam's summary of the family: Transfer RNA (tRNA) molecules are approximately 80 nucleotides in length. RNAcentral also lists the same sequence under 3 other names. Lineage: Eukaryota; Metazoa; Chordata; Mammalia; Carnivora; Felidae. The record is from Rfam by way of RNAcentral.
UAGCUCAGUUGGAGGAGUGUGAGACUCUUAAUCUCAGAGUUGUGAGUUCGAGCCCCAC